RNAcentral lists this ribosomal RNA (687 nucleotides) under Buttiauxella sp. 110518_136_C_A11. RNAcentral's name for it is "bacterial SSU rRNA". It matches the Rfam family "Bacterial small subunit ribosomal RNA", at positions 69 to 749 of the family's 1533-position model. The record is from RNAcentral. Lineage: Bacteria; Pseudomonadati; Pseudomonadota; Gammaproteobacteria; Enterobacterales; Enterobacteriaceae.
CACAGGAGAGCUUGCUCUCUGGGUGACGAGCGGCGGACGGGUGAGUAAUGUCUGGGAAACUGCCCGAUGGAGGGGGAUAACUACUGGAAACGGUAGCUAAUACCGCAUAACGUCUUCGGACCAAAGAGGGGGACCUUCGGGCCUCUUGCCAUCGGAUGUGCCCAGAUGGGAUUAGCUAGUAGGUGGGGUAAUGGCUCACCUAGGCGACGAUCCCUAGCUGGUCUGAGAGGAUGACCAGCCACACUGGAACUGAGACACGGUCCAGACUCCUACGGGAGGCAGCAGUGGGGAAUAUUGCACAAUGGGCGCAAGCCUGAUGCAGCCAUGCCGCGUGUAUGAAGAAGGCCUUCGGGUUGUAAAGUACUUUCAGCGAGGAGGAAGGCGUUGYGGUUAAUAACCGCAGCGAUUGACGUUACUCGCAGAAGAAGCACCGGCUAACUCCGUGCCAGCAGCCGCGGUAAUACGGAGGGUGCAAGCGUUAAUCGGAAUUACUGGGCGUAAAGCGCACGCAGGCGGUCUGUCAAGUCGGAUGUGAAAUCCCCGGGCUCAACCUGGGAACUGCAUUCGAAACUGGCAGGCUAGAGUCUUGUAGAGGGGGGUAGAAUUCCAGGUGUAGCGGUGAAAUGCGUAGAGAUCUGGAGGAAUACCGGUGGCGAAGGCGGCCCCCUGGACAAAGACUGACGCUCA